Long non-coding RNA from Acinonyx jubatus (cheetah), 901 nucleotides. RefSeq lists it as uncharacterized. NCBI's taxonomy places the organism in Eukaryota, Metazoa, Chordata, Mammalia, Carnivora, Felidae. The record is from RefSeq and is a predicted model, not a curated record. The transcript is spliced from 3 exons.
AUUAUAGUCAUCACCUUCGGCGCCACAUGGUCCCCUGGACCUACUCCAAGGCUGCUGAGAAGCUCGCAAAGAGGGUCUGAGAGCAAACAGCAGAAAGAGAAGCACCUGUGCUUACUGGACCUCCGAGCGAAAGAAACUUGGGCAGAUGGGCUCGCUGUGGCCACAAACCAUCCCCACGAUUUCCCGCCUCCACACCAGGGCGGUACCAUUUUCUUGUCCUGGAAGGCGUGGACCCCAGCUACAAGCCGUGCUUGCGCCGCCAGCCAUCGGGGACAUCCAACAGGAGUCUGCCACCUGAGCUCCAAGACCAAAAGCACAGGUUGGGUUGUGGAUGCAGUUGGUUAAUUAUGCUAUUGGUUUCUACCCAGAGGGGCAAUAUAUACAUAUAUGCUGUUUUACACAGAAACAGUUUAAAGAAAAAAGAAUCGUCCAUUACCCUACAUAAUUACUAUUUAUUUAAAAUCAAUCUUAAUUAAUAUAUGCCUCUAGACUUAUAAUUUGUUUGCUCUGCAAAUACAUGUAUUUUACAAACGUAAGAUCAUAUACAUUAAACAUCUUUUAAUGUGUAAAAGGGAUGCUUCUGUGGCUAGUGAGCUUUGAGAAAGCAGGAACUCCUACUCACCCCUUCAAAGGCCAGCCCAUGUCACUCUUCCCCGCAGGACUCUGACUGGCCCAGGCAAUGGUAACUGCUUAUCUCCGUGUUCAUGACACCUUGACCAUACUUUCAUAUCAAUACUUAUUAUCUUGUGUUUGGCUAUUGGUUUAUGCAUCUGAAUUCCCCAUUUGAUUGGAAGUCUUUGAGGCUGAGGGCCCUUCUGAUAGAUUUUUUGUGUUCCUAACUGUUAAAAAGAAAUGAUCCUGACAGUUGUUAAAAUGGUAAGGAAAACUCGAUUCAAGAGUA